UACGAAGGGGGGCUAGCGUUGCUCGGAAUCACUGGGCGUAAAGGGCGCGUAGGCGGCCAUUCAAGUCAGAGGUGAAAGCCCAAGGCUCAACCUUGGAACUGCCUUUGAUACUGUUUGGCUUGAGACCGGUAGAGGUAAGUGGAACUGCGAGUGUAGAGGUGAAAUUCGUAGAUAUUCGCAAGAACACCAGUGGCGAAGGCGGCUUACUGGACCGGUUCUGACGCUGAGGCGCGAAAGCGUGGGGAGCAAACAGG
This 254-nucleotide ribosomal RNA is filed under the name uncultured bacterium. RNAcentral's name for it is "partial 16S ribosomal RNA". It matches the Rfam family "Bacterial small subunit ribosomal RNA", at positions 524 to 776 of the family's 1533-position model. The record is from RNAcentral.